RNAcentral lists this ribosomal RNA (835 nucleotides) under uncultured bacterium. RNAcentral describes it as "bacterial SSU rRNA". It matches the Rfam family "Bacterial small subunit ribosomal RNA", at positions 56 to 897 of the family's 1533-position model. The record is from RNAcentral.
UGCAAGUCGAGCGAGAAGUGACUUCGGUCGCGAGUAAAGCGGCGAACGGGUGAGUACAACGUGGAUAAUCUACCCUAGGGUCUGGGACAACCCCAAGAAAUCGGGGCUAAUACCGGAUAAGACCACAGUAUCCAAGGAUACAGCGGUAAAAGAUUUAUCGCCUUUGGAUGAGUCCACGCCCCAUCAGGUAGUUGGUAAGGUAAAGGCUUACCAAGCCUAAGACGGGUAGCCGGCCUUAGCGGGUGAACGGCCACGUGGGGACUGAGACACGGCCCUGACUCCUACGGGAGGCAGCAGUGGGGAAUAUUGGGCAAUGGGCGAAAGCCUGACCCAGCGAUGCCGCGUGAGGGAUGAAGGCCUUCGGGUUGUAAACCUCUGUCAGGAGGGACGAUGGGACACUUGUGUCUUGACGGUACCUCCAGAGGAAGCCCCGGCUAACUCCGUGCCAGCAGCCGCGGUAAUACGGAGGGGGCAAGCGUUGCUCGGAAUUACUGGGCGUAAAGGGUCCGCAGGCUGUCAGGCAAGUUGGUUGUGAAAUCCCAAGGCUUAACCUUGGAAUUGCAUCCAAAACUGCCUGACUAGAGUCCAAGAGAGGUUGGCGGAAUUCCCGGUGUAGCGGUGAAAUGCAUAGAUAUCGGGAGGAACACCAGAGGCGAAGGCGGCCAACUGGCUUGGUACUGACGCUCAGGGACGAAAGCGUGGGUAGCAAACCGGAUUAGAUACCCGGGUAGUCCACGCCCUAAACGAUGGAUGCUAGGUAGGGGGGAAUUUAUUUCUCCCUGCCGUAGUUAACGCAUUAAGCAUCCCGCCUGGGAGAGUACGGUCGCAAGGCUGA